AGAAUCAACGCUGGCGGCGUGCCUAACACAUGCAAGUCGAACGCGAAAGCCCCGCAAGGGGCAAGUAGAGUGGCAAACGGGUGAGUAACACGUGGGUGACCUGCCUUCGAGUGGGGGAUAACGUCCCGAAAGGGACGCUAAUACCGCAUGACAUCCUGCUUUUGGAAAAGCGGAAAUUAAAGCCGGGGAUCGCAAGACCUGGCGCUUGAAGAGGGGCCCGCGGCUGAUUAGCUAGUUGGUGAGGUAACGGCUCACCAAGGCAACGAUCAGUA
RNAcentral lists this ribosomal RNA (272 nucleotides) under uncultured soil bacterium. RNAcentral's name for it is "partial 16S ribosomal RNA". It matches the Rfam family "Bacterial small subunit ribosomal RNA", at positions 26 to 285 of the family's 1533-position model. The record is from RNAcentral.